Molecule: long non-coding RNA, 1941 nt
Organism: Micropterus salmoides (largemouth bass)
Lineage: Eukaryota; Metazoa; Chordata; Actinopteri; Centrarchiformes; Centrarchidae
Exons: 3
Source: RefSeq, a predicted model, not a curated record
UCCAGGAUUUUAACACAACAUUUUGUAAAUUGUGACACACACCUUCUCAUACCGCAUCUGCUUCUCUCACAGAGCAAGUGGGUCAGGAGAUUCUUUCCAACCUGCACAGUGACCGUGAGAAGAUCCAAAGAGCCAGAGAAAGGCUGAGAGAAACAGACGCCAACCUGGGCAAGAGUUCUCGCAUCCUUACCGGCAUGCUGAGAAGGAUCAUCCAGAAUCGCGUCCUGGUCUUCAUCCUCGGAGCCAUCAUCCUUCUCACCAUAAUCCUGGCCAUCUAUUUCAAUAUGCGGGGCCACUGAUCUCCCCUCUACACACAUAUACACUCGCCCCCCACCUCCCCGACACAAAUACAAAUACACACACACACACACGUGUGAUUAAUAGCGACAAAAGCGUUGUUCUGCUGUAAUUUGGACAAAUGGUCCCCAUGAAUCACUGUUUCCAAAGCCUGACAGGGAGCUUUUUUCCAGCUCUUUCUCCUUUCCUGUUUCUUUCUCCCUUUCUUUCCCUCUCUGUACCUUUUGUUUCCACUCUGCGCUUCUCUUUCUUUCUUUCUUUUCUCCACUCAGUCCUGUCCUCUCUCUGCUCGGCUCACUCUUACAUCUCCAGGGACAAGAAUAGAGGGGAGAUGUUUUAUGAUAGUUAAUAUUUUUCAUGGUAUCGUCCUCGGUGUGGUUUUGCAGCCCAUCCUGUCCCCAGGUGAACAAGGCCUGGGGAUUUUUUCCCCAACUCAAAGCAGAUAUGUAGAUUUUUUUUUCUGUGAUGGAGGUAGGUCAAGUGUUAUUCAGGAUGUGUGUGUGCAUGCAUGAGUGACAGAGAAGAAGAGAUACGAGUGUUGUGCACAUGUAUGCAUGUUCACAUGUGCAUGAGUGACAGUCAUGGGUUGAGGGCCCGCACGGUGUUUGUUAUUAACAUCAACAGUAGACACACAAACUGCAGUAUGUAUGAGCUUCUGUAACUAAAUGAUUCAGCUGAUCUUCAUGUAGCCCCUACACAUCACAGAGGACAGUGCCUUCAGAUAAGAAAUGCUGUUCACAACAUCUUUAAAAAGUUCAACAGAGCCCAAAAUAGACAAGUGGCGCUGCCUUAGAAAGAGGAUGCACAUAAAAAGGUUGAGGUCAGUUCAACUUAAGUGUAGUCGAUCAAGGUGAAAGUUUUGUUUGUUUUUAUAAAGAGGAAACUGUUUAGUUUCAAUUACUGUGUUCAGGAAAGGAUAUAUGAACAUUUUAAUAGAAUUUGGAGAUUGAAAAGAUAAAAUAAAACAUACUCUUUCAAUAUGUUUUUAAUACAAAAUGGAACUGACCCCAACCUUGGCAUAUACAAUACAUACUAAAAUACAGAGAAAGGUUCAGACAUCAUAACCAUCUUUAUUAUACACAUUUGGUAAAAUUCCCCUGCACCUCCCAAACACAGAUUUCCACAAUUCAUUCCCAUGGACAUUUAGCAUAACUACCAUUGUGGAAAAGUAUAGACAUCAUACUGUAUGUACUAACAUUUAAAACUACAUAAUGUAUAGUGUUUUGCUCUCAAUACAAGUGAUUCUGUUACUAUUUAUUUAUAAAUGCAUAAAUGAGUUUUGAAUUAAAGUUUCUGUACAAGAACUGUUUAUUUUAUGAAGUUAAGGUGUAUUCAAAAUUAACAUUAGCAACAUGUUAUUUUUUUUCUUGUUCUCGUUCAGUGAUUAGACUAAAAUGCAGACUGUACACCAGGACCAACUGAAAUGUGUAGAUUUCAAGUUUUGUGUCUUAAAGUUUUUUUUUCUUCUUCUUCUGUUCUUUUAAAUGGAUCUAACUUGUUUUAGAACUUGUACUUUUUGUUCUAUAUUUUUCUUGUCAAGUUCUGAAGAUUGUGAUGCAGUUCUUGUUUCUGUGUUUAUCUGUACGCUGAUUGAUGAUGUGAUACAUCUGCAGGUGUUUGAAAAAAAAUGUGUGCGUGAGUUUA